CAGCCGUAAGCUAUGCGCGUUAGGUGUAUCGGUGACCACGAGUUACCGAGGUGCCGAAGGGAAACCGUGAAACGUGCCGCCUGGGAAGUACGGUCGCAAGGCUGAAACUUAAAGGAAUUGGCGGGGGAGCACCACAACAGGUGGAGCCUGCGGUUUAAUUGGACUCAACGCCGGGAAGCUCACCGGAUAGGACAGCAGAAUGAUUGCCGGGCUGAAGACCCUGCAUGACUAGCUGAGAGGAGGUGCAUGGCGUCAGUGACU
Molecule: ribosomal RNA, 261 nt
Filed under: uncultured archaeon
Lineage: Archaea
Description: partial 16S ribosomal RNA
Rfam family: Archaeal small subunit ribosomal RNA
Source: RNAcentral